Molecule: long non-coding RNA, 922 nt
Filed under: Triticum aestivum (bread wheat)
Lineage: Eukaryota; Viridiplantae; Streptophyta; Magnoliopsida; Poales; Poaceae
Description: long non-coding RNA (TAES_LNC025606)
Source: RNAcentral
CUGAAACACCCAAGCAUGGUCACCAACUUUUCGGUGCUGGAACAUCUGACGUCCAUUGGUAGCAUGCUUCUUAAGGAAAAAAGAAAGAUUCCUACAAGAUCUUAGGAGAGAAGAGAUUUUUAGGUAAACAAGAAGGGCAUAUACUGAACUCCAUCAGGAGGAGACCACCACAAACACUGCAACCUAUAAACUCACCAGUUGGGAAUAGAAGGAUUGGAUGCAAGUUCCUGUCAAAACCAAAACGAAAUCCACGGAUUAAUGCUCCUGUAUCAUAUUGACUACCACAAGCAUACGGAUGGUGUGAAAAUGCAUUACCAGCAACCUAGAAUUGGUAUCAUUCAUCACAAUGAUCCUUUGAAUAAAUGUGUGAGAGCAAACACACCAUCAUCCGUAUGGCUCAGUAGAAUUAGAAGCUAGUAAGAUCAUGUACACCCAAAUUCAAAUUCACAACACUCUGCCUGCCAACAUUUAACAAAUAGAAUUAUGUUUAAAAAUUAGGAUUAACCACAUACAGAUAAAGUAUAUUAUGUAUUCAAUGUUAAGAAUUUCUAAAGCUAUAUUCAGAUAAGGCAUAAGAAUAAAAUUAUUCACUGAUUGACACUACUUCUCUAGCCGAUAGACAGUUAGCCAAAUAUAGACCUCCCUGGAAGGAGCAAAUCGACCACUAUUAGGGGUAAAAGGGAAAUUUUUGUUUUCGGUAGUUAAGCCAAUACAAAUCAAUAGUAGGGGAAGAAUGAGAUUGACUAAUUGAUGACCGGUACCAAGUAACUAUCGUGGCUUACUGUAUGAAUUGGGCGGAAACACAUCUUUACUAUCAAAAGUUAGGUUUCUGCUAGUUCAACAAAAACAGUUUAGAGAGACAGCCAGGAAGAGGGUCCAAUGUACGUGUACCUGGUUGCAAUUGAAAUAAAUCUAACUCGAG